CUCAUACACACACACCCAACACCCCUCAUACAAACACACACAGCACCCCUCAUACACACACACACAGCACCUCUCAUACACACACACACACCACCCCUCACACACACACAUACACAACACCCCUCACACACAGCACCCCACACACAAACACAUACACUACACCUCUCAAUGCAGUAUGUGUGUGUAUUCAGCGGUCUGUGUGUGUGCGUGUAUUCAGCAGUCUGUGUGUGUGCGCGCAUGUAUUCAGCAGUCUGUGUGUGUGUGUAUUCAGCGGACUGUGUGUGUGUGUGUGUAUUCAGCGGACUGUGUGUGUGUGUGUAUUCAGCGGACUGUGUGUGUGUGUGUAUUCAGCGGACUGUGUGUGUGUACCCACCAGUCUGUCUGUAUGUGUAUUCAGCAGACUGUGUGUGUGUGUGUGUAUUCAGCAGUCUCUGUAUUCAGCAGUCUUGUGUGUGUGUAUUCAGCAAACUGUGUGUAUGUAUUCAGCAGUCUGUGUGUGUAUGUAUUACAUUUGUUUGAGAUACUAAUAAAUAUAAGCUUAAUUUUAUCUAUUUCUAUCAUUGAACUCUCUGUUGUUGUGUUCUUUUAAAACAAAAGUUGUUAAUUAGUUCGGACAACAGUACGAGUUGUUUUUUUCUAAACUUAAACCUCAGUAUUGAGGUUUAAUUGCCGUGUUGGCACUUUAAGGAAAGCAAAGUUGGCAUGUAUUGCGGUUUGGGCACUCGGGCUCAAAAAGGUUUGCCAUCACUGUCCUAGAGGGACCUGGCACCCAGACCACUUCAUUAAGCUGAAGUGGUCUGGGUGCCUAGAGUGGUCCUUUAAUAAGUGUUGUCUAUGUAUAGAGUAGGAUAUAAAAUUGAGUAAUAUUCAAGGUUGUCGAGAUCAAGGAGUGAAUUCUUAAUAUAGCUUGAUGGAAAGACACAGUAUAAAAAAUAAAUAAUAAAGAUUUACAGAUAUUUACAGAUAUCUGGUCUCUUGGCAAAUGGUAGAGAAAAUAAAUAGCGUUAUGCUUGUGGUUCAGUAGAUUACAUGAAUCAACUGGCUAUAAGUCUGCAUUGGCUGUAAUGAAAGAGUGUUGCAAAAUUGUUGCCACUGAAACUAAGUAAUCCUAUGGCAAUUGUAACGAUCAUUCCUUGUACAGGCUUAAAGUAUACUUUUGCUGAUAAUUCUGCAAGUCACGGUUUGAGGUUGGCUGGACAUGUAAUUUGAAUCUAGCUCAGCGGGAUAGUAUUGCUAAGGUAAACACUUGCUACUAAACCAAAGUACAGACAUGAUGAUCGUUUUUUGGGUUUCUACCAUUCUAAGUGAUCUCGAGGAAUGUCUAAACAUUGGAGGAAAAACAUUUAGAAAGAAUUAGUGCUACGAGUGUAGAACCAUGCUUAGGAUGCUGGUUGCCUACACCAUAGUGAAAGUGCCCUGUGAAGAAGAGAGAAAUCGACGCGCGUUUCGAUGCACUAGCAUGUGCACCUUCGUCAGGGGUGAAAGUUGUACUGACCGAGAGACCUCUUAAACAGGUUGCUUCCUUGCUGUAAUCGGAUACAUGACCAAUCAACCGUUGACACGUUUGAGAGGGUGGUACCGUACCGAUGACGUCACGCAUCAAUGCAAAUUCAGGCUUGUAAAGUGACCAAUCAGCGGGCGGAUCGUCACUCUAAUAAUAUCAACCAAUUGGGUCUAGAUUUAGGUUAUGCCGAGAAUAUGCCUUUAGUUUCUAGAUGGUUAUCGGUGAUACUUGUCUCGGACAUAUUUCUACAGAACCCAAAAUUAGCGUUAAAGGCUUUCUCUCAUACUCGUUGAAAAUGUGUAAUUUGUGCAGGGGAGAGGGGAUCUGUGCAGGGGAGUCAGGGGGAUCUGUGCAAGGGAGGCAGUGGAAAAGGGGAUGUGUGCAGGGGAAAAGGGGAGGGGGCUGUGAAGGGAGAGAAGGGAUCUGUGCAGGGGAGGGAGGGGGACUUUCAGGGAGGCAGGGGUGAGGGGAUCUGUUCAGGGGAGGGAGGGAUCUGUGCAGGGAGGGGGACUGUCAGGGAGGCAAGGAGGAGAGGGUAUCUGUGCAAGGGAGGCACAGCUAGAGGGGAUGUGUGCAGGGGAGGCUGGGAGAGAGGGGAUCUGUGCAGGGAAGGGAGGGGGACUGUAAGUGAGUUGGGGGAGAGGGGAUCUGUGCAGGGCAGGGAGAGAGGGAGGGGGACUUUCAGGGAGACAGGGUAUCUGUGCAGGGAAGGCACGACUAGAGGGGAUGUGUGAAGGGAAGGCACGGACAGAGGGGAUCUGUGCAGGGAGGCAGGCUGUCAGGGACAGAGGGGAUCUGUGCAGGGGAGGGAGGGGGACUGUCAGGAAGGGGAGUGGGGAAGGGAUGUGUGCAGGGGAGGUAAUGGAAACGGGGAUGUGUGUAGGGAAGGCAGGAAGAGAGGGGAUCUGUACAGGGAGUGGGGCUGUGAAAUGAGAUCUGUGAAAUGAGAUCUGUGCAGGGGAGAGAGCAAGGAAAUGAGAUCUGUGAAAUGAGAUCUGUGCAGGGGAGAGAGUCAGGGGGAGAGGGGAUCUGUGCAGGAGAGGGAGUGGGGGUGUCAG
This 2562-nucleotide long non-coding RNA is filed under the name Pelobates cultripes (western spadefoot toad). Lineage: Eukaryota; Metazoa; Chordata; Amphibia; Anura; Pelobatidae. The record is from RNAcentral.